This 147-nucleotide small RNA is filed under the name bovine gut metagenome. RNAcentral's name for it is "Clostridiales-1 RNA". It matches the Rfam family "Clostridiales-1 RNA". The record is from RNAcentral.
CCGAAAGCAGUAUUUUCGAAACCGUGCCUGCACGGGUGAGGAAAAAAACUGCUUGAGGCGCCCCGCAUGAGCAAGGAGCGGGGGAGGGGGCCCCGCGGAUUGCGAAUGAGGGAGGAUUGUGAGAGCGCGAAGCGCGGAACAAUCCGU